GUACUGAUGAAGAGUCCCAAACUAAAAGGGACGAAACAGCUGCCCAGUAC
RNAcentral lists this non-coding RNA (50 nucleotides) under Trichobilharzia regenti. Lineage: Eukaryota; Metazoa; Platyhelminthes; Trematoda; Strigeidida; Schistosomatidae. The record is from RNAcentral.